RNAcentral lists this ribosomal RNA (468 nucleotides) under uncultured bacterium. RNAcentral's name for it is "partial 16S ribosomal RNA". It matches the Rfam family "Bacterial small subunit ribosomal RNA", at positions 28 to 507 of the family's 1533-position model. The record is from RNAcentral.
GACGAACGCUGGCGGCGUGCUUAACACAUGCAAGUCGAACGGAAAGGCCCUGCUUUUGUGGGUUGCUCGAUUGGCGAACGGGUGAGUAACACGUGUGUAUCCUGCCCUUGACUUUGUGAUAACUUCACGAAACUGGGGCUAAUACCGGAUAGGAUCUCCUGCUCCAUGGUGUGGGUUGGAAAGUGUCGGCGGUUGGGGAUGGACUCGCUGCUUAUCAGCUUGUUGGUGGGGUAGUGGCUUACCAAGGCUUUGACGGGUAGCCGGCCUGAGAGGGUGACCGGCGACAUUGGGACUGAGGGACGGCCCAGACGCGUACGGGCGGCAGUAGGGGGGAAUAUUGCACGAUGGGCGGAAGCCUGAUGCAGCAGCGCCGCGUGCGGGAUAACGGGCUUCGGGUUAUAAACAGAUUUCGACUGUGACGAAGAGUGAGUGACGGUAAUGGGUAAAAAAGCAACGGCUAACUACGUG